This is a long non-coding RNA of Hibiscus syriacus, 96 nucleotides long. RefSeq lists it as uncharacterized. Lineage: Eukaryota; Viridiplantae; Streptophyta; Magnoliopsida; Malvales; Malvaceae. The transcript has 3 exons. The record is from RefSeq and is a predicted model, not a curated record.
UUUUUUUUCUUACGUUUUGGUAAGAUGUUGAUGGGUUAGGUGAGAUUUGUUGGAUUUGCUGACUUUGGUGAUGGUUUAGCAGGUGAUAAAAUACGA